GACGAACGCUGGCGGCGUGCUUAACACAUGCAAGUCGAACGGAAAGGCCCUGCUUUUGUGGGGUGCUCGAGUGGCGAACGGGUGAGUAACACGUGAGUAACCUGCCCUUGACUUUGGGAUAACUUCAGGAAACUGGGGCUAAUACCGGAUAGGAGCUCCUGCUGCAUGGUGGGGGUUGGAAAGUUUCGGCGGUUGGGGAUGGACUCGCGGCUUAUCAGCUUGUUGGUGGGGUAGUGGCUUACCAAGGCUUUGACGGGUAGCCGGCCUGAGAGGGUGACCGGCCAAAUUGGGACUGAGAUACGGCCCAGACUCCUACGGGAGGCAGCAGUGGGGAAUAUUGCACAAUGGGCGGAAGCCUGAUGCAGCAACGCCGCGUGCGGGAUGACGGCCUUCGGGGUGUAAACCGCUUUCGCCUGUGACGAAGCGUGAGUGACGGUAAUGGGUAAAGAAGCACCGGCUAACUACGUG
RNAcentral lists this ribosomal RNA (468 nucleotides) under uncultured bacterium. Its description in RNAcentral is "partial 16S ribosomal RNA". It matches the Rfam family "Bacterial small subunit ribosomal RNA", at positions 28 to 507 of the family's 1533-position model. The record is from RNAcentral.